CCUACGGGGGGCAGCAGUGGGGAAUAUUGCACAAUGGGCGCAAGCCUGAUGCAGCGACGCCGCGUGAGGGAUGGAGGCCUUCGGGUUGUAAACCUCUUUCGCCAGUGAAGCAGGCCUGCUCCUUGUGGGUGGGUUGACGGUAGCUGGAUAAGAAGCGCCGGCUAACUACGUGCCAGCAGCCGCGGUAAUACGUAGGGCGCAAGCGUUGUCCGGAAUUAUUGGGCGUAAAGAGCUCGUAGGCGGCUGGUCGCGUCUGUCGUGAAAUCCUCUGGCUUAACUGGGGGCUUGCGGUGGGUACGGGCCGGCUUGAGUGCGGUAGGGGAGACUGGAACUCCUGGUGUAGCGGUGGAAUGCGCAGAUAUCAGGAAGAACACCGGUGGCGAAGGCGGGUCUCUGGGCCGUUACUGACGCUGAGGAGCGAAAGCGUGGGGAGCGAACAGGAUUAGAUACCCCAGUAGUC
Molecule: ribosomal RNA, 460 nt
Filed under: uncultured Actinomyces sp.
Lineage: Bacteria; Bacillati; Actinomycetota; Actinomycetes; Actinomycetales; Actinomycetaceae
Description: bacterial SSU rRNA
Rfam family: Bacterial small subunit ribosomal RNA
Source: RNAcentral